Molecule: ribosomal RNA, 462 nt
Filed under: uncultured bacterium
Lineage: Bacteria
Description: partial 16S ribosomal RNA
Rfam family: Bacterial small subunit ribosomal RNA
Source: RNAcentral
GACGAACGCUGGCGGCGUGCUUAACACAUGCAAAUCGAACGGAAAGGCCCUUCGGGGUACUCGAGUGGCGAACGGGUGAGUAACACGUGGGUGAUCUGCCCUGCACUUUGGGAUAAGCCUGGGAAACUGGGUCUAAUACCGAAUAGGACCACGCGCUUCAUGGUGUGUGGUGGAAAGCUUUUGCGGUGUGGGAUGGGCCCGCGGCCUAUCAGCUUGUUGGUGGGGUAAUGGCCUACCAAGGCGACGACGGGUAGCCGGCCUGAGAGGGUGACCGGCCACACUGGGACUGAGAUACGGCCCAGACUCCUACGGGAGGCAGCAGUGGGGAAUAUUGCACAAUGGGCGCAAGCCUGAUGCAGCGACGCCGCGUGAGGGAUGACGGCCUUCGGGUUGUAAACCUCUUUCAAUAGGGACGAAGCGCAAGUGACGGUACCUAUAGAAGAAGCACCGGCCAACUACGUG